RNAcentral lists this ribosomal RNA (497 nucleotides) under uncultured bacterium. Its description in RNAcentral is "partial 16S ribosomal RNA". It matches the Rfam family "Bacterial small subunit ribosomal RNA", at positions 28 to 507 of the family's 1533-position model. The record is from RNAcentral.
GAUGAACGCUGGCGGCGUGCCUAAUACAUGCAAGUCGAGCGAACAGAUGAGGAGCUUGCUCCUCUGACGUUAGCGGCGGACGGGUGAGUAACACGUGGAUAACCUACCUAUAAGACUGGGAUAACUUCGGGAAACCGGAGCUAAUACCGGAUAAUAUAUUGAACCGCAUGGUUCAAUAGUGAAAGACGGUUUUGCUGUCACUUAUAGAUGGAUCCGCGCCGCAUUAGCUAGUUGGUAAGGUAACGGCUUACCAAGGCAACGAUGCGUAGCCGACCUGAGAGGGUGGUCGGCCACACUGGAGCGGAGACACGGUCCAGACUCCUACGGGAGGCAGCAGUAGGGAAUCUUCCGCAAUGGGCGAAAGCCUGACGGAGCAACGCCGCGUGAGUGAUGAAGGUCUUCGGAUCGUAAAACUCUGUUAUUAGGGAAGAACAAAUGUGUAAGUAACUGUGCACGUCUUGACGGUACCUAAUCAGAAAGCCACGGCUAACUACGUG